Molecule: long non-coding RNA, 1380 nt
Organism: Mirounga angustirostris (Northern elephant seal)
Lineage: Eukaryota; Metazoa; Chordata; Mammalia; Carnivora; Phocidae
Exons: 6
Source: RefSeq, a predicted model, not a curated record
GACACACUGAUAGUGAACUCUGGCUGAGCCAUGCUCCGUCGAUAGCAGUGCGAGGCACCAUUUAGCAGAAGCUUCCUGAUGCAGAGCUUUUAGAGAAUUCAAGGAUUCACUCUGUCAUCAUCAUCAGGAGUGCAUGUUUCCAUUGCUGAGUCAAAAGAUCUAAAUUGGAGCUGGACCAGAAACAAACGGUUAUGAACAAAUUGAGAAAUCAAAGAAAUAUCAGCAAGUCUCAAUGGAAUUCUGUGGUUCCCCAUAUCCAAGGGACAAAAAGUGGCAGAAAGACAAGGAUAUGUGCUAAUGUGGACACAUUGUUGACCAUCUUCUUCAGGCGGUUUUCUCUGCGAAACGAGAAGCAACCUGACUCUCUUCUCUGACAUCCUUCUCAGAGAGCCCUCUAUUUGAUUUGGAUUUUGUUCUUUCAUGCACUCAUUCUUCGGCCUGACCAACUCCCCCCUCAACACACACACACACCUUCAGCAAACAUUUAGUGAGCACUUGGUAUAUGCCCAGCAUCGGGCCCAGUGAUGCAGAUCAGAAGAUAAAAGGCACCAAUCCUUUGCUUUGUGCAAAUAUUAAUGUAAAGAACUCAUUUGCCCCAUGGGAUCCCUCACGCUGAAGACAGGAACCAUCUCUACCUAAACCCAAUGUCACCUGAGCAUCAGUGCUGCACAGCGAUGGAGCCUGUGGACUGCAGAGUCCUAAUGACAGGAGGGACGCCAGCGCCAGCUGGGCCAAAUGCUACCUAUGAACCUGGAAGCACAACAAAGAGCUGGACUCUGGUUGCCGGGCAGGCUACACCCCAGGAGGCCGGGAUGCAUCAUUAACUAAGUGCCUUCUCCCCACUGUCAAUGGAUCAUAAAGCAAGAUGGCAGCCUUCAUCCUUUACUCAGCUCAGAGCAAGGCCACGUGAGCAGUCUGAACAUUCGAAAAGGAAUUGGGACACCUGAUCCCACACGCGUUGUGGAGAAACUUCCUGGUGACAAUCAACUAAAAUCUCCAUCUUUAGCACCUCUUCUUCUUUCUUAUUUUAUGUCCAUUGCUAUUUGCCUCUUUUCUCCUAGAGGGAAUGGUAUAAGGAUUGAUGGUAUGAUCCCACAAAGGGCUCCAAGGCUUUCAGAUGGAUGGUGCUCUAUAAAAUAGUCUUAUUUAACAACUAAGGACAUUUACAAGAAUCCUCUUACCCUUCUCCUUCCUUUCCUUUGUUCCUUCAUCUCCACCCACCCCCCUAGCUCUAAGAAUUUUAUGAUCUGAAGGCCAAAAUGCUUUAAAUCUUAAUAACUACAGGGGCCACUUGGAAUACUGAAAGGAAACUAUAUAUACUCUUUACCUGACUCAUUCCAAGCUUUUACUGCAGCCGAAGUAACUGCUGCACCAUUUAAA